AGCAGCCGCGGUAAUUCCAGCUCCAAUAGCGUAUAUUAAAGUUGCUGCAGUUAAAAAGCUCGUGGUUGAAUUUCGGGACCAUCAUGUCGGUCGUGCCUCGGUACGUACUGGCAUUGUUGGUUUCUCCCUUCUGACGAACCAUGAUGUCAUUUAUUUGGUGUUGUGGGGAAUCAGGACUGUUACUUUGAAAAAAUUAGAGUGUUUAAAGCAGGCUCACGCUUGAAUACAUUAGCAUGGAAUAAUGAAAUAGGACGUUUGAUUCUAUUUUGUUGGUUUCUAGGAUCGACGUAAUGAUUAAUAGGGAUAGUUGGGGGCAUUAGUAUUCAAUUGUCAGAGGUGAAAUUCUUGGAUUUAUUGAAGACUAACUACUGCGAAAGCAUUUGCCAAGGAUGUUUUCAUUAAUCAAGAACGAAAGUUAGGGGAUCGAAGACGAUCAGAUACCGUCGUAGUCUUAACCAUAAACUAUGCCGACUAGGGAUCGGAUGAUGUUAAUUUUUUAAUGACUCA
This 507-nucleotide ribosomal RNA is filed under the name uncultured Glomus. Its description in RNAcentral is "SSU rRNA". It matches the Rfam family "Eukaryotic small subunit ribosomal RNA", at positions 569 to 1078 of the family's 1831-position model. Lineage: Eukaryota; Fungi; Glomeromycota; Glomeromycetes; Glomerales; Glomeraceae. The record is from RNAcentral.